GUCCUUACCUUCGUCCCUAAUGUUGAUAGGGACCUUCUUACCAGCUGAAGUUGAAGUGAUGCUUAAUAGCAGUAACCUUCCCAAAAAAGAACUGUUGAUAGGCCUGAAUAAAGAUGAAGGGACCUACUUUCUUCUUUAUGGAAUGCCUGGUUUCAACAUCAGUGGCCAGAGUCUCAUCAGCAGAAAUGACUUUCUGAAAGGUGUACCACUAACAAUGACAGAUGCAAGUCAUGUCGCCAGAGAAGCAGCUAUUUUUCACUACACUGAUUGGACUGAUCAGAACAAUGGGAUGAAAAACCGAGACUCACUUGGUAGUCUGGUUGGAGAUCAGCUGUUUUGUUGUCCUGUAUUGGACUUUGCUCACAGGUACUCACAGGGUGGCGGGAAGACCUUUCUAUAUUUCUUUGACCACAUGUCAUCUACAAAUCCCUGGCCAGACUGGAUGGGCGUAAUGCAUGCUUAUGAGAUAGAAUUCAUCUUUGGAAUGCCUCUGAAUGCUACCCUUGAAUACACGAAGAAUGAACUAAACAUGACCAAGAAGUUUAUGAAGCACUGGGCUAACUUUGCCCGGACUGGGAAUCCAGGGCUUGAUGGAGUUGCUUGGCCAACGUUUACCUCUGAACGUCAGGAGUACAUAACACUGAACUACAAUCAUCCAGAACAAAAGAGUAUGAUGAGAGCUAAAGAAUGUCAUCUGUGGAACAAAUUGCUGCCUCAAGUACAGAAGACUUCAGAUGAGCUGCAGUCUUGUAAUGCAAGUGGGAUUAUACUCUGCUGUAAUUGGGGUUUCCUUCUUAUUUUAUCAGUUAUGAGUUUAACCUAUUGACUGAGUUCGGAAGCCUUCUGUCUGUUGAGUCAAUGUGUUCAUAUAUCUGCCGGCUAUUAUCAGACCACCAGUUGAAGCCUAUGGCUUGUUUUCACAUGAGUUCUUCCUUACUACCAUUGUGAAGAACCACCUUUCCUUUGUAAUUAUCCACACAAACAAAAGAAAAGUAAGACAGGCAGUAUUAUUAGUAAUACUGACCAUGUACCUAAAACACUUGCUUAGGUGAAUGAGCAAAAGACCACUUCUUACAGUCCUACAGGUCCAAAUAUUGUCAGUUAAUGGCUAAGCUAAAACACAUGUUUUUUUUCUUUAAUAAAAGGCCUAUAUCAAUGUGGAUACAUUUUUUCUACACUGAUUGAAUUACCUACUAUACAGAUCAGCUAUGGAGAUGGCAUAGGAAAUACAUAUGUUAUUGUGCAGUUGUAACACUGUGGGCUAAACAACUUAAUCCAAUGUGUCAUGUUUUGACUUUUGUUUUUGUCAAACACAAGGAGACACUUGUUUUCUCUUGUGUUUGUAUUUACCUUGCUAUUUAUAGAUUUGAAAUACAAAUGUGAAACUGUGGGACUAAAAACAGAAGGUAAUGAGAUUUGAGCUGAUAAUCAGUAGUUUUAUCUCUCUCUCUCUCUCUCUCUCUCUCUCAGUCUAAUAAAAAUAAAUUCAAGCCCAUUUGUGAUCUCUUAUACAUGUCUCAAUAGCUAUGUUUACAUGGACAAAAGUAAUCACAAAUAAGGGCCAAUCAGUAAAUGCGGCAAUCAGAAUAGUGUUAUCAGAUUAAGCUCAAUCGGAAUUAAAUUUUAAUCUGAAGGAGAUGGGUGGUUUAUGCCAGUUGACAAUCCCAUCGGCAUGCAUGUAAAUGCUUGUCAGGAUCAAGUUAUUCUGAGGGGGAAGAAUGACAGCAAAUAGUGAAAUGUCAAGCUUCAAAUACUGGCAGCCAAUAUAAGUAUCCAUAUUCACAUUUAAGGGUGCAUUGCGCAAGUUUUGAAGUUAAAUAUAAUUUAUUUUCUUUUAAUACAAGUCCUUACAAUUGCCCGACACGUAAAAUAAGUUUUUCUGUAUUUACUGCAGUUGCCUUUAGAAGCUCCAUUUGUCAGUUCAUGAGAAAGUAAAUCAGGAAGAAUUCUCUGGGCGGGCCGGUGGGUGUGACAUGCCGCGCACUCUCGUUCAUCCUGCUACUCUGUUGAGUCUCCGCUGUAAUUGAUGCAUUAGCGAGAGAACAUGGGCUAACUUUAAUAUUUAUGACUUUUUUACCUCAGAAGACACGCCUCACACCUCUAAACAAAAGACUUGUGCAGUCGCAGCAGCAGAUGUUUGUCCUCUCAUCCCAUGCACGUGCACAACACUGAUGUCAUUUCAGCCUGUGGCCUCAGGUGGCAAAAUUGUGCAUAAAUUCUGGAACUUGUGCUAUUCUCCUUAAAAAAAAAAAAAGAUUACCCAUAACAAUCAUGGCCACCAUCCAUUAGAAGAUAAACAUUAUGACAUAUAAUCUAAACUUCCCUGGCUGCAUAAAAUGUAACUUCCCUGGUGGUGAAGGAACGUCCACAGGUUGUUAUACCUGGCUUACCUAGAAAACGCUCUCACUUCAGUUUGUCACCUGGACUAUGUUUCAACCUAUACUUGCCAGGACAAACUAAAAAUGUUUAUGAGGUGAUUAGCGAAGGUACCCUGAGAGUGAAUAUUUAUUUGGAUAUUUGGUUCAGAAUGUGCUAUUAUACAGACAAAAUUAUGUUGGCUCGCUCUUCCUAAAAUGAUUUGCAGAUUGUUGGACCAUUUAUUUUGUUUUGCUUCUGGAUGUCAGUACUUAUGUUAAAUGCAUCUAAAAUUAUAUGAAAUUCGUUACACAGAUACGUUUCUAGCUCUCCAGAAAUAAAAUGAAAUCAAUCCAUCCAUUGUGUACAGUGUUAGUUUUCUGCCACUUUUUAUGUCAUUUGACCCUUUUCAUAUUUUGCUUUGACCACUACAUGGGGUAUGUCGAACUACCCAUGACACUCCUGAAAGCAGCACUGUGAAACUUUUAGCCACCACUAGACCUGUAACUUUGAAGUUUAGUGCCAAUAAAGGGAACUGGCUGUGUCCAGCCAUAUGCUUUUGAGCCGAUAGUUAGGCAUGAAUUCCGGGACAACACCGAGGGAAAUGGAGAGGGGAGUAGUUGUGAUGAUGAUGACGCUAGUAGGCCUACAUCGUUGUCGUCCAACUCAGAAUCUGCUGGUGAAGAGGAUGUUGACCACGAUCCCAACGACUUACAAAUACUGACUGGUAUGUUUUAUGAGUCUAAAUUGCGAGUCUGAUGCUGCUUUAUUUCUUAAUUUAUAUAAAUUAACGGACUGUAAUUCGUGAAUGUGAAGGUUUAUUUAAGCAACUGAACAUCUUAACUCGUUGAUGUUUUUCACAGGCCAGCGUUCAACAUUUUUUCACCGUGCCCGUGGGCUCGGGGUGCCGCAUAUUUAGGGUAGGUAUGUCAUCUGGCCUAAGGUGCAACUUUGGUAUAUUGAAUCCAACUGAUGCAGCGAGAACAGGAUUGACGAUAAAAGAAUCUGCCAUGAACUGAUCCGAACAUAGUUUGCUGUAUCGGCUUGGACGCCACAGAUUGUCCGGUUGAUUUUUGUCUAAUCUAUUCACUUUCCGGAUCCAAAUUUGACGCAAAACCGGGUCAGUCGGAUAAUUAAACAUUCCUUUUCCCGAUCCAAAGCGAUUCUUACAAUUGGCAGCAGUACAAUAGACCAUUGUAAUGACUUUUUAACAAUCCUUUCAGAGUGCUUAACAAUGCGUGAAGAAGUGGUACUCGACACAUGUUCGAGGAUGUUUGACUACACUGACGUCACAGCUGUGUUUUUGUCAUGUGACUGCUCUCGCUGGACUCGCAGAUCGCUGGAGGCACCCAGCAUACUGUAAAAUUCUCGUGAUUUUUAUUACUUGGAGCACUUUUAUCGCAAUUUUGACCAGCCACAUAAAGAAAAAAAAAUUAUAAUCUACCAUCACACAUGAUAAAACUGCUCUAGACACACUCUUUUCUAUUUGCACGUAAACUAGGUUCUGGAUAUUCUAUUUGACAGCUGCGUCACAAGAAUAAAUAAGUGCACACAAAAAAGUAACAAAAACAAGCACCAAACUGGAGAGCUAAGAGAAGCUGCACAUGUGCUCGCUGCCAUCUUAUUAUCUGCUGUAAUAUGGAACACUCCAGGAGAUUUUUCCUGCCCACAGCCAUUAGCGUCUACUACAACUCUUUGAAGACAUCUGCAUAAUAUGAUUUACAACAGCAUUUAAUUUCCUUUUGGGAUUAAUUAAAUCUUUUUAAAUAGAAUUGAAUUGAUGGUAUUAAAGCCAGGUCAGCCUAUAGUGAGAAUAUUUUACCGCAUGCCAAAAAAAAACCACAGUUCCCACAAAAUUAGGAAAUAACGUAGGCAUCUAUUUAACAAUCUCCUGUGUAAUUUAUUAUGAAGAUGUAUUGUUUUGCAGAAUUGUAGUCUGGAUGCAUUGUGACACUCAUAACUGACAUUGCCAUUAAAAUAAGACUAAAACUGGGCAUUUCAAUGGCAAGAUGCAUUUCAAACAUCUCUUUAAGUUAACUGGAAAAUGCCAUUCAAAAUCAUGGCAGAGCAGAAAAUGACUGUGACCCUGACCUUCAUUGUCAGUUGAGACAAAAAGCCCCAUCAUUCAAAAGAGACAGGCAAUUAGGAAGAGCCACAUUUAAAACAGCUCCAAAGAAACAGAAAGCAGUAAAAUGUUUUAGAUUUCACAGAGAAAGAGAGAUGAUGAUGACGGGUAAUGAUAAGGCUUUAAACUACUACGUAUUGCAGAAGUUAGGGGGGGUAAGUCCAGUUGUUUUUGCAGAGAAAAAAAUAACAUCUAAAUCUAAAUUUCUCAUUGCCAAUAAGAGUAAAGGAAAAGAUAAAUGGACAAACACUGCAAAGAAAGCCUGCUGAGUUUGUGCAAUGAGAGCAGAUUUCACAACUGAGUGAUACAUGAACAGGGAGGUUUGCGUUCAUCUGUCCGCUGAUGACCUAAGGAAAGAAAUAUGUGUCAUUCAAUGAAAAUUUAAAAGGGUAUGAAAAGGGGUUAGGGUUAUUAGUAAAAGCAAAUGUGAAAUGUAUUUUGUGGUUUGUUACAGUCUGCACCGAUGAAUUUUUGCAACAAAUGUUUUUUUUUUGGGUUUUUUUUUUUUAUAAUUCUCCAUUUUUCAGUUAUAUGUGUUCUGUUUUAAUUGAUGCAUUGAGUAAUUGGGUACAUGAUGGGUAUGUUUUGAGAGAUAAGGUGAACUUUUCAUCUUGCUUCUAAUAUUUUUGUUUGCUUUGUGCCAGGAACUUUCAGUUCCAAUCAGAAAAAAAAAAUCUGAAAAAAGAGCCAGGCCCGCUAAAUAAGAGAAACUAACUUUCAGAGUCAACUGUCCCAGGUAAGACAAGAGAAAAUGAUUGCAGCAUAAUGUAUAAUGUUUCCAAGGCAUUAUGAAGCUGCCUCGGCUUUCCUAAACAAUUUCAAAAGAUACAUUUUAACACAGACACACAUGGUACUUGCUGCCUCUAUAACCACAAACACAACCACAAUGCUUUAAAUCCUCUAAAUAGCUCUAUUACAUGUGACAUUUGUAAUGUUUUUACGUUCAGAAACCAAUGCAUGUUGCUAGAAUGAGGCCCUUUAUAUCUGCUGCAUGUCAAAACCUUUAGUGACCCUUGAAGAAUACACCAUAAGUAUUUGGAUUGGAUCGCACUACUGCUGGGUUUCUUUGUUAUGUAGCUAAUUCAAAAUGUAUCUUAAUACACUGCUAACAAUGUAAUACAUUACUGACACAUCAGCAGCAAACACCCAUUCAACAUGAUUUGAUUGACCUUUCAGCCACAACUUGCCCUGUUUCAGUUUUUUGAUUUAACAGAAUAGGAUUCAAUGUGAUAUGAGAGGUUAGAGCAGGCAUGUCCAAAGUCUGCCCCGGGGGCCAAAUGUGGCCCGCGUUAAAUUUUCACUGGCCAACGGCUGCAGUCUCUAAUAAAAUUAAUAAUAAUGUACCGAACACCUGUACCAAAAAAAAAGUACCUAAUUUUCCAGCAGAAGGCAGCAGUCCUGUGGCCACACUAUCACCCCAGGCCCCAAACCACCUGCAAUUGGAGCUCAUUGAGCUGCUGUGUGACAUUGAAUGCCACGGUCAACACCAACAGCUCCUUCUUGUUGACUUUUACCACCAACUGGAUAAAGGCAGGUUCCAAGAGAUUGAAACAUUUGCCAAGAAAAUGCUGGGUUUGUUUGGAUCGACAUGAGCUACAACACAUUCUCGGUUAUGAACCUUAAAAUGAACCGAGUGACAACAAAACUAACCGGCUGUCACAUACUUGACAUCUUGCGCUUCAAAACUACUGUCUUUAAGCCAGACCUGGCCUGUAUACUGCAGGCAAGAUCUCAGUAUCACCCUUCACUUUAGUGCAGGCAGGUAUUUGUUUAGUCUUCGGAUGUAAAUAAACUAGAAUUGAUUUCGCAAUUCUUCAGUUUAAAAGCUCAGGUAAAUUAUUUAUUGUGGUGAUCAAAACCACAGCUUAAAAUACAGUUAUUUGUGAUAGAAAUUCAAUGUCAAAUAACUUUUCUAAUUGUCAAUUGAAAAACAAGUGUUACAUAAAUUCAUAUGGCUCUCAGUCUUCUGUAGUUCUACAUAACAAAACUGUUAGUGUUGUUUCAUUGUUCACAUGUUUUGAAUUUGCAAGUUUACUGUGAGCAUUUGAUAAAGCAAACAUUUCAUGUUCAAAAUGAACCUAGGUGCAUGUAAUUUGCCUUUUGUUGGGGUUUUUUGUUUAGAUGUUUUUGCUUAAUUUCCUGUAAUCUGCAGUGAUUUUGAUAAAAAGUCUGUAUUUAUAUGAUGUAAUAAAGUUUGCCAUUUGCAAUUUAAAAAA
Molecule: long non-coding RNA, 6696 nt
Organism: Fundulus heteroclitus (mummichog)
Lineage: Eukaryota; Metazoa; Chordata; Actinopteri; Cyprinodontiformes; Fundulidae
Exons: 5
Source: RefSeq, a predicted model, not a curated record